This 253-nucleotide ribosomal RNA is filed under the name uncultured bacterium. RNAcentral's name for it is "partial 16S ribosomal RNA". It matches the Rfam family "Bacterial small subunit ribosomal RNA", at positions 524 to 776 of the family's 1533-position model. The record is from RNAcentral.
AACGUAGGUACCGAGCGUUAUCCGGAUUUACUGGGCGUAAAGCGCGUUCAGGCGGUUUGGCAAGUCGGGCAUGAAAUCUCUCGGCUCAACCGGGAGAGGUUGUCCGAUACUUCCAGACUUGAGGGCAGUAGAGGGUGGUGGAAUUCCGGGUGUAGUGGUGAAAUGCGUAGAUAUCCGGAGGAACACCAGUGGCGAAGGCGGCAUCCUGGACCGACACUGACGCUGAGGCGCGAAAGCUAGGGUAGCAAACGGG